Molecule: non-coding RNA, 114 nt
Organism: Poecilia formosa (Amazon molly)
Lineage: Eukaryota; Metazoa; Chordata; Actinopteri; Cyprinodontiformes; Poeciliidae
Source: Rfam
GUGGGUUACGGGGACAUGGUCCCAGUCACUAUCGGGGGCAAGAUUGUCGGAUCUCUGUGCGCGAUCGCUGGAGUCUUAACAAUUGCCCUCCCAGUGCCUGUCAUUGUAUCCAAC